This 439-nucleotide ribosomal RNA is filed under the name Streptococcus cristatus. RNAcentral's name for it is "bacterial SSU rRNA". It matches the Rfam family "Bacterial small subunit ribosomal RNA", at positions 43 to 468 of the family's 1533-position model. The record is from RNAcentral. Lineage: Bacteria; Bacillati; Bacillota; Bacilli; Lactobacillales; Streptococcaceae.
CGUGCCUAAUACAUGCAAGUAGAACGCUGAAGGAAGAGCUUGCUCUUCUGGAUGAGUUGCGAACGGGUGAGUAACGCGUAGGUAACCUGCCUGGUAGCGGGGGAUAACUAUUGGAAACGAUAGCUAAUACCGCAUAACAUUGACUAUUGCAUGAUAGUCAAUUAAAAGGUGCAAAUGCACCACUACCAGAUGGACCUGCGUUGUAUUAGCUAGUUGGUGGGGUAACGGCUCACCAAGGCGACGAUACAUAGCCGACCUGAGAGGGUGAUCGGCCACACUGGGACUGAGACACGGCCCAGACUCCUACGGGAGGCAGCAGUAGGGAAUCUUCGGCAAUGGACGGAAGUCUGACCGAGCAACGCCGCGUGAGUGAAGAAGGUUUUCGGAUCGUAAAGCUCUGUUGUAAGAGAAGAACGAGUGUGAGAGUGGAAAGUUCACA